This 1683-nucleotide ribosomal RNA is filed under the name marine metagenome. RNAcentral describes it as "bacterial LSU rRNA". It matches the Rfam family "Bacterial large subunit ribosomal RNA", at positions 951 to 2354 of the family's 2925-position model. The record is from RNAcentral.
AAACUCCGAAUGCCGGUGACAAAUAUCCGGGAGUCAGGCUGCGGGAGAUAAGUUCCGUAGCCAAGAGGGAAAGAGCCCAGACCGACAGCUAAGGUCCCCAAAUCCAGACUAAGUGUGAAAGGAUGUGGGAACUCUCAGACAGCCAGGAGGUUGGCUUAGAAGCAGCCACCCUUUAAAGAAAGCGUAAUAGCUCACUGGUCGAGAGAGCCUGCGCCGAAAAUAUAACGGGGCUAAGUCUGGUACCGAAGCUUCGGACUCGUAAGAGUGGUAGCGGAGCAUUCUCAGACAGAUACAUGGUGUACCGAGAGGAGCACUUCGGGGUCUGAGAAGAGCUUAUGCAGGCAUGAGUAGCGAUAAACAGGGUGAGAAACCCUGUCGCCGUAAGCCCAAGGUUUCCUGGGGUAGGAUAAUCCUCCCAUGGGUUAGUCGGAACCUAAGCUGAGCCCGAAAGGGGUAGGUGAUGGCAAGCAGGUUAAUAUUCCUGCACCACCAGGGAUGACAUUGAAGCAAGCAGUGACGGAGAAGGGUAGGUCGAUCCAGGAGUUUGGUUUUCCUGGUUCAAGCCCGUAGGCAGUCGUCAUAGGAGUCAACAGACACAAACGUGAUGACAAUGCCGAGAGGUGAUGAGGUGAGACUUCGGUCUCGCAACUCGGUGAUCCCAGGCUUCCGAGAAAAGCUGCGUGAGGAGUCCCUCUGGUGUCCGUACCGCAAACCGACUCAGGUGGGCGGGGUGAGUAUCCCAAGGCGCGCGAGAGAACACUGGCUAAGGAACUCGGCAAAUUUACACCGUAACUUCGGGAGAAGGUGUGCCCCCUCGUGUGAAGCGACUAGCUCGCGGAGCAUCUGGGGGUUGCAGAGAAAUGAGGGUUGCGACUGUUUACUAAAAACAUAGGACUCUGCGAACUCGCAAGAGGACGUAUAGGGUCUGACGCCUGCCCGGUGCCGGAAGGUUAAGGGGAGCUGUCAGCGCAAGCGAAGCAGCGAACCGAAGCCCCGGUAAACGGCGGCCGUAACUAUAACGGUCCUAAGGUAGCGAAAUUCCUUGUCGGGUAAGUUCCGACCUGCACGAAUGGCGUAACGACUUCCGCACUGUCUCAACCAGAGACUCAGCGAAAUUGAAUUCUCGGUGAAGAUGCCGAGUACCCGUGGCAAGACGGAAAGACCCCGUGAACCUUCACUACAGCUUGACACUGAUUUUCGGGCAAUUUUGUGUAGCAUAGGUGGGAGGCUAUGAACUGUGGACGCUAGUUUGCAGGGAGCCACCGUUGAAAUACCACCCUGAAUUGUCUGGAGAUCUAACCGUGACCCACACCGAAUCCUUAACAGCGCCCAAGACCACGUCUGCGCCGCCGUCCCUCAGCGCAAGGGCGAGGUUCGCUGUCUCGGAAGUGACGUGCAGGCAGGCGGUGAUCCGCAGCUUGUCCAGCGGCUUCUCCCUGGCAAAGCGCUCCCUGAUCUGACGCACUACCGGCAUUUCGCGUGCGGCCCACUCGAUGCGUAGGGCGCCCUCGGCCGCGAGUGAGAUGUCCCGAAUGUCCCCGUUGAUCGCCUUUGUUAUCAAGGUGUCCUCCUGAAAAUUAACGUUACUGUGUCGGGGUAGCUAACCACCCCUCCUGGGUAGUGAUUCAUCGUGCCCGAGAGGGGGCAGUCGCGUGAGCUGUGUCAAUGCUCGGAAGCGCUCGU